RNAcentral lists this ribosomal RNA (452 nucleotides) under uncultured bacterium. Its description in RNAcentral is "bacterial SSU rRNA". It matches the Rfam family "Bacterial small subunit ribosomal RNA", at positions 335 to 800 of the family's 1533-position model. The record is from RNAcentral.
ACUCCUACGGGAGGCAGCAGUGGGGGAAUCUUGGACAAUGGGGGCGAACCCUGAUCCAGCCAUGCCGCGUGAGUGAUGAAGGCCUUAGGGUCGUAAAGCUCUUUCGCCUGUGAUGAUAAUGACAGUAGCAGGUAAAGAAACCCCGGCUAACUCCGUGCCAGCAGCCGCGGUAAUACGGAGGGGGUUAGGCGUUGUUCGGAAUUACUGGGGCGUAAAGCGCGCGUAGGCGGAUUAGUCAGUUAGAGGUGAAAUCCCAGGGCUCAACCCUGGAACUGCCUUUAAUACUGCUAGUCUUGAGUUCGAGAGAGGUGAGUGGAAUUCCGAGUGUAGAGGUGAAAUUCGUAGAUAUUCGGAGGAACACCAGUGGCGAAGGCGGCUCACUGGCUCGAUACUGACGCUCAGAUGCGAAAGCGUGGGGAGCAAACAGGAUUAGAUACCCUGGUAGACAUCAC